This 72-nucleotide transfer RNA is filed under the name Camelus bactrianus (Bactrian camel). It matches the Rfam family "tRNA". From Rfam's summary of the family: Transfer RNA (tRNA) molecules are approximately 80 nucleotides in length. Their secondary structure includes four short double-helical elements and three loops (D, anti-codon, and T loops). The record is from Rfam by way of RNAcentral. Lineage: Eukaryota; Metazoa; Chordata; Mammalia; Artiodactyla; Camelidae. RNAcentral also lists the same sequence under 2 other names.
GAAGGUAUAGCUCAGUGGUAGAGUGUGUGCUUAGCAUGCAGUGGGUCCUAGGUUCAAUCCCCAGUACCUCCA